RNAcentral lists this ribosomal RNA (320 nucleotides) under uncultured Prevotella sp. RNAcentral's name for it is "bacterial SSU rRNA". It matches the Rfam family "Bacterial small subunit ribosomal RNA", at positions 28 to 339 of the family's 1533-position model. The record is from RNAcentral. Lineage: Bacteria; Pseudomonadati; Bacteroidota; Bacteroidia; Bacteroidales; Prevotellaceae.
GAUGAACGCUAGCUACAGGCUUAACACAUGCAAGUCGAGGGGCAGCAUGCAGGUAGCUUGCUAUCUGUGAUGGCGACCGGCGCACGGGUGAGUAACGCGUAUCCAACCUUCCCCGUAGUAGGGCACAGCCCGGCGAAAGUCGGAUUAAUUCCCUAUGUUCUUGACAGCAGACAUCUAACGUCAAGCAAAGAUUCAUCGCUAUGGGAUGGGGAUGCGUCUGAUUAGGUUGUCGGCGGGGUAACGGCCCACCGAGCCUGCGAUCAGUAGCCGGCCUGAGAGGGUGAACGGCCACAUUGGGACUGAGACACGGCCCAAACUCC